This 162-nucleotide unclassified non-coding RNA is filed under the name soil metagenome. RNAcentral's name for it is "partial internal transcribed spacer 1". The record is from RNAcentral.
CACAAAUUAAAAUAUGAAGGCUUCGGCUGGAUUAUUUUUAUCACCCUUGUCUUUUGCGCACUUGUUGUUUCCUGGGCGGGUUCGCCCGCCACCAGGACCACACCAUAAACCUUUUUUUAUGCAGUUGCAAUCAGCGUCAGUAUAACAAAUGUAAAUCAUUUA